RNAcentral lists this ribosomal RNA (478 nucleotides) under uncultured bacterium. RNAcentral's name for it is "partial 16S ribosomal RNA". It matches the Rfam family "Bacterial small subunit ribosomal RNA", at positions 28 to 523 of the family's 1533-position model. The record is from RNAcentral.
GACGAACGCUGGCGGCGUGCUUAACACAUGCAAGUCGAACGGUAAGGCCCUUCGGGGUACACGAGUGGCGAACGGGUGAGUAACACGUGGGUGAUCUGCCCUGCACUUCGGGAUAAGCCUGGGAAACUGGGUCUAAUACCGGAUAGGACCACUGCCUGCAUGGGUGGUGGUGGAAAGCUUUUGCGGUGUGGGAUGGGCCCGCGGCCUAUCAGCUUGUUGGUGGGGUGAUGGCCUACCAAGGCGGCGACGGGUAGCCGGCCUGAGAGGGUGACCGGCCACACUGGGACUGAGAUACGGCCCAGACUCCUACGGGAGGCAGCAGUGGGGAAUAUUGCACAAUGGGCGCAAGCCUGAUGCAGCGACGCCGCGUGAGGGAUGACGGCCUUCGGGUUGUAAACCUCUUUCAGCACCGACAAAGCGCAAGUGACGGUAGGUGCAGAAGAAGGACCGGCCAACUACGUGCCAGCCGCCGCAGUAA